This 253-nucleotide ribosomal RNA is filed under the name uncultured bacterium. RNAcentral's name for it is "partial 16S ribosomal RNA". It matches the Rfam family "Bacterial small subunit ribosomal RNA", at positions 524 to 776 of the family's 1533-position model. The record is from RNAcentral.
UACGAAGGGGGCUAGCGUUGUUCGGAUUUACUGGGCGUAAAGGGCGCGUAGGCGGCUCGUUUAGUCAGGUGUGAAAGCCCUGGGCUCAACCCGGGAAAUGCACUUGAUACUGGCGAGCUUGAGGAUGGGAGAGGAUGGUGGAAUUCCCAGUGUAGAGGUGAAAUUCGUAGAUAUUGGGAAGAACACCGGUGGCGAAGGCGGCCAUCUGGACCAUUUCUGACGCUGAGGCGCGAAAGCGUGGGGAGCAAACAGG